AUUGAACGCUGGCGGCAGGCCUAACACAUGCAAGUCGAGCGGAUGAAGGGAGCUUGCUCCUGGAUUCAGCGGCGGACGGGGGAGUAAUGCCUAGGAAUCUGCCUGGUAGUGGGGGAUAACGUCCGGAAACGGGCGCUAAUACCGCAUACGUCCUGAGGGAGAAAGUGGGGGAUCUUCGGACCUCACGCUAUCAGAUGAGCCUAGGUCGGAUUAGCUAGUUGGUGGGGUAAAGGCCUACCAAGGCGACGAUCCGUAACUGGUCUGAGAGGAUGAUCAGUCACACUGGAACUGAGACACGGUCCAGACUCCUACGGGAGGCAGCAGUGGGGAAUAUUGGACAAUGGGCGAAAGCCUGAUCCAGCCAUGCCGCGUGUGUGAAGAAGGUCUUCGGAUUGUAAAGCACUUUAAGUUGGGAGGAAGGGCAGUAAGUUAAUACCUUGCUGUUUUGACGUUACCAACAGAAUAAGCACCGGCUAACCUCGUG
This 484-nucleotide ribosomal RNA is filed under the name uncultured bacterium. RNAcentral describes it as "partial 16S ribosomal RNA". It matches the Rfam family "Bacterial small subunit ribosomal RNA", at positions 30 to 507 of the family's 1533-position model. The record is from RNAcentral.